RNAcentral lists this ribosomal RNA (429 nucleotides) under Chloroflexota bacterium. RNAcentral describes it as "Chloroflexi bacterium partial 16S ribosomal RNA". It matches the Rfam family "Bacterial small subunit ribosomal RNA", at positions 355 to 776 of the family's 1533-position model. Lineage: Bacteria; Bacillati; Chloroflexota. The record is from RNAcentral.
UGGGGAAUAUUGCACAAUGGGCGCAAGCCUGAUGCAGCCAUGCCGCGUGUAUGAAGAAGGCCUUCGGGUUGUAAAGUACUUUCAGCGGGGAGGAAGGGAGUAAAGUUAAUACCUUUGCUCAUUGACGUUACCCGCAGAAGAAGCACCGGCUAACUCCGUGCCAGCAGCCGCGGUAAUACGGAGGGUGCAAGCGUUAAUCGGAAUUACUGGGCGUAAAGCGCACGCAGGCGGUUGAUUGAGUCAGAUGUGAAAUCCCCGGGCUUAACCCGGGAAUUGCAUCUGAUACUGGUCAGCUAGAGUCUUGUAGAGGGGGGUAGAAUUCCAUGUGUAGCGGUGAAAUGCGUAGAGAUCUGGAGGAAUACCGGUGGCGAAGGCGGCCACCUGGACGAAGACUGACGCUCAGGUGCGAAAGCGUGGGGAGCAAACAGG